RNAcentral lists this ribosomal RNA (253 nucleotides) under uncultured bacterium. RNAcentral describes it as "partial 16S ribosomal RNA". It matches the Rfam family "Bacterial small subunit ribosomal RNA", at positions 524 to 776 of the family's 1533-position model. The record is from RNAcentral. RNAcentral also lists the same sequence under 1 other name.
UACGUAGGGGGCAAGCGUUGUCCGGAAUUAUUGGGCGUAAAGCGCGCGCAGGCGGUUCCUUAAGUCUGAUGUGAAAGCCCACGGCUCAACCGUGGAGGGUCAUUGGAAACUGGGGAACUUGAGGACAGAAGAGGAGAGUGGAAUUCCACGUGUAGCGGUGAAAUGCGUAGAUAUGUGGAGGAACACCAGUGGCGAAGGCGACUCUCUGGUCUGUUUCUGACGCUGAGGUGCGAAAGCGUGGGUAGCAAACAGG